Molecule: long non-coding RNA, 213 nt
Organism: Scatophagus argus
Lineage: Eukaryota; Metazoa; Chordata; Actinopteri; Scatophagidae
Exons: 3
Source: RefSeq, a predicted model, not a curated record
GAGGCUCUCACCCAUACUCAGCAGGUCGCGCGCAGGACUGAAGCCCCACCAAGUGACGCAGCCCACACCCUCAAACACCCGUCCAGCACUCAUCCUGUGGCCGAAACAAAGUCACAGCCGUCCACUGGCCUAUAAAAACAUCAGAGCAAUGGAUAUUCAUCAUGAUGAUCUAGACCAGCAUUUUUUGAAAACACAGAAGAUGAAGCAUCCCAC